UGUUAUCAUCUUUCUUAAAGUUUUUUUUUUUGCAUAAAUUUAUCCAAAACAGAAACUAAGUAAUAAUAAAAGGGACAUCAAAUUCAAAACCAUUUGAACUAAAUGUUCACCAGAAAAAUCACCACAAUAAAUAUAAUUAUCUAAAAUUAAAGGUGUGGGAGCAGUACAAUAUUUUGAGGGAGAGAAAAAGAAGUGAUGAAAAGGAUGUGCAGGUUUUGAAGAACAAAGAUUGGUGCAGUAUAUAUACUUCCAUAUUAGAAGCUGCUAGCUGGGGCAAUGCAAGGGCCACAACGUACACGAGUGAACUGUGUU
Molecule: long non-coding RNA, 312 nt
Filed under: Glycine max (soybean)
Lineage: Eukaryota; Viridiplantae; Streptophyta; Magnoliopsida; Fabales; Fabaceae
Description: long non-coding RNA (GMAX_LNC003990)
Source: RNAcentral